CCUACGGUGGACAGCAGUAGGGAAUCUUCCACAAUGGGCGCAAGCCUGAUGGAGCAACACCGCGUGAGUGAAGAAGGGUUUCGGCUCGUAAAGCUCUGUUGUUGGAGAAGAACGUGCGUGAGAGUAACUGUUCACGCAGUGACGGUAUCCAACCAGAAAGUCACGGCUAACUACGUGCCAGCAGCCGCGGUAAUACGUAGGUGGCAAGCGUUAUCCGGAUUUAUUGGGCGUAAAGCGAGCGCAGGCGGUCGCUUAGGUCUGAUGUGAAAGCCUUCGGCUUAACCGAAGAAGUGCAUCGGAAACCGGGCGACUUGAGUGCAGAAGAGGACAGUGGAACGCCAUGUGUAGCGGUGGAAUGCGUAGAUAUUAGGAGGAACACCAGUGGCGAAGGCGGCUUACUGGACUGUAACUGACGUUGAGGCUCGAAAGCGUGGGGAGCAAACAGGAUUAGAUACCCUGGUAGUC
RNAcentral lists this ribosomal RNA (465 nucleotides) under uncultured bacterium. RNAcentral's name for it is "partial 16S ribosomal RNA". It matches the Rfam family "Bacterial small subunit ribosomal RNA", at positions 338 to 795 of the family's 1533-position model. The record is from RNAcentral.